UCAACAGAAUUUAAUCUAGUUUAUUCUCAAAAAAAAAAGGGGGGGGGGAGGAAAAAUAUGAAAACAAAACAAAAACGAAAAAAAAGCAGGUCUUAUCACUAGCAGUAAAUAAAUUUGUACAACCAUUCAGUCUGUAUAAUAGGAUGAAAUAAAUCUACAUCUUUCUUAUUUUGGUGCGUUGAAUUAUACAUACAAACAACAAUUACAGGAACUUGUUCACAAUGCGUAUAGACCUGGAGAAUGGCUAUCUGAAAACCCCUUGUUGGCAAUGUCCGCAUGGUAACACUGAUUGCCUGACACCAUUGGUACUUUCUAUGUAAAAGGGCCUGUGGCCCGAAAUGAAUGAUCUCCCUACAGGUUUUUAUUGAUUUUCGCUAUUUAUUUCAUUAGUCAGUUAGUUAAUGCAUCAUCCAAAAACCUUUCUAGCCAGCCCCCUCCCCCUUCCCCGGAAACCAAAUAAAAAGAAACCAAAACAAAACCAACAAAUAAAAUCAAAUCAAAGGAGAAGACACGACUGGCAGUUGGUCCAUUUGUUCGUAAGACCGCGUUUCCUCUUGGUCAGCAUUGUUUGUUUAUCUGGUUUUUAAAUUGUCCUCCAUUCCUCUUUAUUUUUUGUCUCUUUUCCUUUAAAAAAAAAUCAAAAGAAAAAUCUCUCGGAGUCCUUCAUGCCUUUUUUUUUUCUUUACAGCUCUCCAGAUGCAAUAAAGUCUUCCUCAAAUGUACAGUAUUUCUUACAAUAUAAGUUAUAUGCAAUGUUCAGCGCUUUUUAUUUUAUUUUAUUUCAUUUUAUUCUUUUUUUUUUCACAGCACUAGAGAUCCUGUCCAAUAGGGAAUGCAAGUUCUGAAUGGCUUAUUCACAAAUGGUAUCCAGAUUCAGUGGGUAAGAAUACAUAGACGCCAUAGUGAGUUCCUUUAAAAAGUGGCAAACAUCACUUUUUUAAAACUUUUUUUUCUACUUUUUUGUCUUUUUUUUUUCUUUUUUUUUUUUCCUUUUUGUGUUUUUUGUAGUUUUUUUCUGGGUUUUUUAAUUUUUUUUCUCUCUUAUGCCUUCAA
This 1053-nucleotide long non-coding RNA is filed under the name Strigops habroptila (Kakapo). Its description in RNAcentral is "lncRNA (ENSSHBG00005004338.1)". The record is from RNAcentral. Lineage: Eukaryota; Metazoa; Chordata; Aves; Psittaciformes; Psittacidae.